UGGAAUGCUGUCAAUGGUGGAAGAAGACGGGAAGGAGGAGGAUUUCGCAUUAGCAGCUGUAGGUACUCUCUUUCAUUCAUCGUUGCGUGUUUGAGAGAAAGAGAUGAUAACGAAUUCUGGUGGAGCCAUUGCAAUGGCGAUUCCCCGUAGGCCUCUGUGCAGGCCUAUUUGCUGCGCUUCAAGCAUCAUCAACACGGAACACCUUCGUUCUCAGCUCGAUCAGCUUCACGCAGAGGCCGAAACCACCAGAGCCAAGGCAAAUAAUGCUAGACUGAGGCUUUUGCGAUUGUCAGAGGCAGCAGAGAAGCUUCAAAAGCAGGCAGCUGUAAGUGUUCAAAAGGGGAAGGAAAAUGAUGCGAGAGAAAUACUUUUUCAAAGGAAGAAGGUCUUGCAAGCUUUGGAGAAGUCUAAAACCCGCAUUGAAUUGCUUGAUGAACUUUUUACAAAGCUUUGUGAGGCAAUAUCUUUGAAAGAAAGUCAACUAAUUGGGCAUGUUUCAUUGAAUAUUGAAGGCAAAACAGAAGACUCUUCAAGUCCAGUUCGAAUCAUUAGUCCAAAGGAAGAAUGUGGCAAGGAUAUUACUGACAAUGACUUGGAUUUUAAUGUGAUGAAAUCUGUUGAUAUUCAAGACGUGCAGAUUUCUGCGGAAAGUCAAGGGGAUUCAUUGAGUGACAAGGAGACUGGGGAUCUUCAACAAUCCAUAAACAGUGCUUGUUUAGACGAGGAUAAAAAAGCUAGCGUCUUGACAGAAAUUGCUUCUUAUGAGGCAUUAAUGGGGCACAUAGAUCAAAAGCUCAGUGAAAUUGAAGUCGAACUUAUCACCACUCUGAAAGCCUCAAACUUGCUGUUGGAUGGUGAUGAGAAGCCAAAGAAUUCAAGGUGGCAACAAAUGGUGGAACUUCUUGAGAGCAUCCAUGGGAUCAGACAGAGAAUCAGAAGCAUUGGGAGUCAAAGUUAAGGAUCUGAUCACAUUUUCUGUUUUGUUCAAUUCAUCUUCUGCUUCCAGCCAUCAUCAUCUGCUUAAUCAAUUACUGGAGCAUUUACCUUUGACAAAUUUCCUGCUGUACUGAAGGAGAGUUAAGUGAAGUUGCAAGGCCCAUGCCUGUGACUUACGCUGCAAAAUUUUCACAUUAUUAUCCCUUUCAUGAAGGUUCUUGUGAAAUACUAUUCAAGAGUGACUUUCAGCAUAAGAAAGAAAGAGGAUUGUUUGAAAAUGCUAAAUGUUCUGGCUCUUGGAGUUCAUAACCUUGGCUUCUGAGAUCAUCAAAUUUUACCUACUCGUAAGCCGCAAUGUAUCUUGUCCUGGCUAACUUUUGAGAGACACAAUAUGCAUAU
Molecule: RNA transcript, 1335 nt
Organism: Neltuma alba
Lineage: Eukaryota; Viridiplantae; Streptophyta; Magnoliopsida; Fabales; Fabaceae
Exons: 6
Source: RefSeq, a predicted model, not a curated record